RNAcentral lists this transfer RNA (73 nucleotides) under archaeon. RNAcentral's name for it is "tRNA-Trp". It matches the Rfam family "tRNA". Rfam says of the family: Transfer RNA (tRNA) molecules are approximately 80 nucleotides in length. Their secondary structure includes four short double-helical elements and three loops (D, anti-codon, and T loops). The record is from RNAcentral.
GGGGUCAUAGUCUAGUCUGGCAGGACAACCGGCUCCAGACCGGUUAACCGGGGUUCGAAUCCCUGUGACCCCA